UUUAAUUAUUUUAAAAUUUGUGUUUAAAAAAUUAAUGUUUUCCAAAUGGUCAGAGAAAAGCAACAGCCGCGUCGUGCUAGUGUUGACACCAAAGAUGGUAUGUACAAGCAAUCUAUUUUUACUAUUUUACAUGACUUUACAAAAUUAGUUGGUAAGUUUUAAAAACAAUUUAAAAUGAAGGUUUUCAAAAAAAAAAAAAAAAAAACUCCAAAUGUUUUCCAAAACGAAAAUGUUAAUAAAAAUUUAAAUUUACAAUUUAUUUUCAUAUAUUUUGAUAAAAGAUAUUCCAAGAUCCUAAGGAUCUGUUUUAAAAAAUGACUGUAGAGUUGAUCUUGUAAAAGUGUGUUAAAAUCUGCUUAGAUUAGGAACAUUCUCAAAUGUUAACUGAAAACUUUGUAAAAGCAUAUUGCAGGUCUUUUGUUAUGAAAUUUUAUAUCGAUAUUAGGCCCCCAAUUUUUAUCCUUUCAGUCGUUGUUUAGGUUGAUUUUUCGGAUUAUUUUAAUUCAUAGUUUUAGCUUGAUCGAAAUUAGUUUAGUUCGAUCAAUUAUUUAAAGAUUAUAAUUGAAAGGGAUUUUAUAUUUGAUGGUUGUGUAGAUUAAAUACAUUCUGCGAUCUUUUGAGAAAAUCAUAUUGAUCGUGCAAUUCUAAAACUUCAAUUUCGUCACAUUAGAAACUGUCGAAUAAUUUCUAUAAAGUAAGGUUAGAAAUGGCUAUACAGUUUUGAACUUUCCGGAUUAAGUCACAAACUACAUAAAUUUAUUUGAUAAUUUUGUUAUGCAGUAACAAGCUUUUCUCAUUAAAUUGUUAACUUAAAAAGCACGUGCAAUUGAGUUGAGUUAUUUCAGUUAUAAGUUUUUUGUUAAACAAAUUUGCAUUAUUAAUGAGCAUCAACGAAAACUGAAAUUUGCCGCAAAUCGAAUGUUGCGAUCGCAUCGAUUAUUAGCAAAAAUAUUGUACAUAUGUAAACAAUCUGAACGAUAAACGUUCAUUGUAUUGGGAAAACCUAAGAUCAUGGGAACACAUUCGGGCUGAUAACUCAAAUAGUAAAAGACAAUAAGCGCAAAAAUUAAUACGAAAACAUCGUCCUGGGUACCGUGAAAGUGAAAAGAACGUUGUUCGAAAAUCAUAAAAAUAACACUUAAAUAUUGAGAUCAAUAUGAAAUCUCUAACCAAAAUGAAAUACUUUCAAAUCAAAAUGUAACCCAACUCAAAAAAACUAUUUUGAAGAAAUUUACAAGAAUUCAUUGGACUGCUUACUACCAGGAGUAAAGCUUUUUUUUUUAGGUCCCUUUAUAAUGUCUGUAAAGAAUCGAGAGAAGGAGCAAGAAGGGAGAAAUAGUAAGAAUAGAAGAAUCGGGGGUCUAUUAAGAGCCGAGCAAUUACACACAUAAUGAGUAAUUGUCUCCUUCUCCUCUUUGAUUUGACAGGUCAUACAGAAGUCACUGUAUGAAAUACCAAUGCGACUUGAAUGAUUUCCAAACUUGGAAUGUCUAGUAAGAACUGAUAACAGAGCACUCAAAAGAGAUCCGCUAAGCCCCUAAUAUAUAAUAUGUUCUAUAAGGAUCCAUAUUAGGUCAUAGCAAUUGAGCAUGUAUGCUGCUGAGACCUGAUUUAAAACAAGAGUUGUGUAUUUGUUUCUUAAAAGCCGCUAAUGGUGACGCCACAGAACUGGUUUAUAUUCAGUACGGCCAACCUUGUAUUAGCAUUUGGUAAGAUAUCAGAUAUCAGAAAUAGCUUUCUGAACUGUUUUUUUUUACUAAGACCUAUAGGUGAAAAGUUACAGACAUAAAACCCUCUAUGUCCAAAAAUGUCCAACUUUGACCCCUUCUGACUCCCGCAGUUCUUGAACGAUAAAGCUGAAAAUGUGUGUUCAACCUACUAUCCUUUAGUACUUAUCUUGGUGCAAAUUUCAGAAUCGGACAUCAAUUUUUAAAAUUGGUUCACUUGACACGAAAUUCCCCAUAUCUUUAACUCUUUAGCAGAUCCUCACAAUCACUUUGAUCUUUUUAUAAAUAUUUGAAACAUUUUCUAAUUGGUCUUAUCUCAUUGAAAACUUCUUAAUUUUUCUAAUUACAUUAAGUUGUGUAAAUGAUUUCAUCUUCAUUUAAUUUGAAUUUAAUAAAAUUGUGAAAUUUUUAAAUUAGAAAAAAAAAUAGUUUUGCAUUUUAGCAGCAACAAUAUAAUGACAGACAGAAAGAUAAACAAUUCAAUUACAAUGUAUUAUUGAUAUCAUACUUCUUGUUUGUAGUUGGAAAUUUUUCUAGAAUUGUCGCACAUCGACUUUUCUAACAAAAUAAACAGAGAAAAAUGCAAAUGAACACACUCACUUAAACAUACAAUCAUCGAGAUAUAUAAAUAUAGUUAAACAAUUUUUAAAAUAAUUUUUACAUGUCAAGUUAUUGAGCCAAAAGCUCUGGAUUAGAAAUUAAAUGAACUUAAUGUUAUAGAAUUUUAGGCGCUUUCGUGACUUUAUUAGAGAGUAAAACAGGAGGUCGGAGAUAGAGAGAUCGUUUUAGAAUCUUAUAAGCAACAAGAAUAUUUACAUAUAUUUUUGUGAUUCUUUGAUCAAUAUUUUGAAAGUUCGCGGAUUACUCUUUCACAUAAUACCCUACACCAUCUGUGUUACCAUCAGAGGAAGACGUCUAGUAUAGUUAGUUAAUUUCAAAGGAUGUAAGUUAUAUAAAAUCCCAUGAAAUGCACCUGGCAAUCCGUGAGGCCUAUUGUGCUCUACUUUACUAAUGUCUCUGGUGAUCUGUAUUCAUUAAUAGACUAAUCCUUAUAGAAUUUGGAAGAAUUCUUUAAACACAUAUACCGGUGGAAUUGCUAAUUCGAAAAAAUGCUUCUGGGUCGCAUUCAUUAUAUUAGAGUAGGGUAUAAUUAUAACAAUUCCUUGUUGUUGUUGCUGUUUCUUCAAAUAAGCGAGAAGUUAAGAUAAAAACAAACAAACAUAAACUAAAUAGCAAAAAAAAUUAUAAAAGCAGACACUUUGCAAAAAAUAUAUGGAAAACAAAACAAGAAAAUAACAAUAAAAAUUUAUAACGUAGAUAUUAAACAGUGGUGGAUAAAAUAUAAGAACACUAAUAUAGAUUGUUUUGGAAAACUAGUGAUGUUGUCAUUACUUAUAGAACCCCUUAUCUCGAAUGUUGUUGUUUAAAGUUAUUUGCAAAUUUAUUCUUUGGCAACAAUUAGCGACUUAGCGAUUAGAGCAAGACAUGUUAAUACUCGCAUGGAAUACACAAUGCUAUGUCUGGUUGGCAGAGAUACAAGGCGAAACGGCUCACAUCGGUUUGCAAACAGCGCCACCCCCGACUUCUUUUAGCUAAAAAGCUAAGCCGGCUUAAACGUAACCGCUGAUAAAGAUUGGAAUUGCACAUGCAUUUCGGAAAAAAAUUUCACCGACAAUUUAGCUGCCGCCGAUAACAACAGAUACUCCACAGAGGAGUGACUGUGGGGUAUCUGUUGUUACCGGCUGUUGGAAAUGAGUUGGUGAUAAAUAACAGUUGCCGACUCAACAGAGGUCAUCCCAUCUGCAUGGUUAUAAAUGGAAUUGAUUUCUUUGAAUUUCGGAAGCUAAACAAUGGGGCGACAAUGGUCAAGGAUUGGAUAGCUCAAGUACUUGAGCAAAAUGCACGUAUAGUGGAACGGAAAUUCCAUAUGCUGAAGUUGCCUUCGGCAUGUAAGAAGCACAAUUGGGCGACACAGAAGCUCAGCUUAAAAUAAGACCCACACGGCAGGUGUUCACUUAAAGCACUUCGAUAUAUAUUCAUUAAGUCUGCACGUGCUCCCAAAGUAACCUGUUCAAUAACCAGCCCAAGACAAAGUCCUAAAGUUUGGCCUACGGUCUACUGGUUUAGUGAUACCAGCUUCUCAGGUUCAACCCUAGGUUAUUCCGAUAGAUUUAAGCUCCUCUUUUCUCCCGGAUUUCAAUCACAUCAAGAUUCUUCAAGGAAAUAUGCCCCGAGGGGCCUGAGAAGUAGGGCUGACUAUGACAAUUUUUCCAUCUUUCUAACAUCAUAUCUUUGCUUCCUCUUUCCAUCCGGAUUCCAAUUACACCAAGAUGGGAAUUCUUCAAGGGAAUAUGCCCUGAGGGGUCUGAGACAAUUUUUCCAUCAUUCUAACAGUAUAUGGAUUCUUUGCCAAAAAGAAAUUCUAAAUUAAAGUGUAUCCCAUAGAGAGCAUUCUGCAUCGAACGUUACAGAUAGUAGUCGCACGGGACAGUGGGCUAAUGCUCGGUUCAAACAAAUCAUUUUGACAAAGGGGAAAGUUCUUUAAAGCAACAUGCCCCGAAUGUCAAGGUAGCAUACCUGCUACCUUGGCAUUUUUCCAACUUCUUUACAUUAUAUGCUCGCACUGGACAAGGACACAUAUUCUGAUGUUUUCGGCCUAUGCCCGCUUUAAACAAAUCGGUUGCAUCCGGUACAUGUAUGUAGGUUUCCUCUAAUGGUCUUAUCAGAUAUCAGCAACUUAACAUGCAGUAGGGUAUAAGAACUUAAGAUUUUGUUUUAUUUGACUAAGUACUAUAAUUUUCUCCACCACUGUCACUAAGUACAAUUACGUAUGAAAACAGCAAUAAGCAAAAAAAAAAUACAAUUUUUAUAAACAAAAUAGGCAGAGGCAAACAACAAACACACCACUCCAAACGUAUAACAACAACAGAAAAACACCUCACUAAACAAGUAUUUUAUUUUUUUGAGCAGACACAACAACAAAAAUAUUAAAACACGAAACCACACAGAGAGAGAGAGAGAGAGAAGAGAUAAUUUGUAACAUUCGGGUCGAGUUAAGAUAAUACCGAAGGUAUGAGAGGAAAUUGAGAGCUAUUUAUUUCCUUAAAAGAGAGUUGUUACGUGCCAAGAGAAUUCCUAUAGAAAAUUUCUUCUAAAAUUUUCUUGGAAUUAUUUAGUAUUGCUCUACCUGUCGUCACGUUAACAACAAACAAUUUGAUAGAGAAACACGUUGGAAUGAAAAGAGAAAAAUUUUUAUUUGUUUUUUUCUUAUUAUUAUAAUUUCUUAAAAAGAAAAUUGUAUAGAAAA
Molecule: long non-coding RNA, 5034 nt
Organism: Lucilia cuprina (Australian sheep blowfly)
Lineage: Eukaryota; Metazoa; Arthropoda; Insecta; Diptera; Calliphoridae
Exons: 2
Source: RefSeq, a predicted model, not a curated record